RNAcentral lists this RNase P RNA (324 nucleotides) under Bacteriovorax sp. Its description in RNAcentral is "RNase P RNA component class A". It matches the Rfam family "Bacterial RNase P class A". Rfam says of the family: Ribonuclease P (RNase P) is a ubiquitous endoribonuclease, found in archaea, bacteria and eukarya as well as chloroplasts and mitochondria. The record is from RNAcentral. Lineage: Bacteria; Pseudomonadati; Bdellovibrionota; Bacteriovoracia; Bacteriovoracales; Bacteriovoracaceae.
CGAGAAGAGGGAAUCAUCGCCGGCCCUUAUAGCAAUAUAAGGACGGGAGGAAAGUCCGGACACCACAUGGCAACGUAGCGGGUAACGCCCGUCCAUCGCGAGGUGAGGACAAGUGCAACAGAAAGUAUGUACAGGUAAUGCUGUAGUGAAACCAGGUAAACUCUACGUGGUGCAAGCUCAAAUAGGCUUAGGUGUUUCUAGCAAUAGAAACUAGAGGGUGCCACUCUCGAAAUAAGCGGGUAGAGUGCUUGAGCCUUGGAGCAAUCCAGGGCCUAGAUGAAUGAUGGUUGAAAACAGGAUCCGGCUUACUCCUUCUCUCGGUUU